GCUGCUGGAAUGUUGCUACUUAGAAAUGGAAAGUUCACAAUUGGAAAGCUGAAAUAAUCUCCUUUGUCGUAAAGUUUUGUUUUCAACCGACCCUCAUUGUCAAUUUCUAAAUAUAGGUCAAGAUAUGAGGCCGAAUUUACUGUAUCUGUAGUAUCCUUUAUCUAUAGUACGAUGGGAUAGAUGCGUUCCACAAAGUAACCAAAUUUUGAAUUAUUUAGUGAAAGAACAUCAUCUAUGUAGCAGAAAGUAGAGUAAAAGGAUAUUGCUAACUUUUUAUCUUUCUUCCUAAGAAGUUCCUACAUGAUCUCAGCCUCAUAAUAAUAAAGAAACAAGUCGGCAAGUAGAGGGGCACAAUUUGUUCCCAUUGGAAUGCCGACAGUCUAUUGAAAAACGCCUC
Molecule: long non-coding RNA, 397 nt
Filed under: Mytilus galloprovincialis (Mediterranean mussel)
Lineage: Eukaryota; Metazoa; Mollusca; Bivalvia; Mytilida; Mytilidae
Source: RNAcentral